This 339-nucleotide long non-coding RNA is filed under the name Ricinus communis (castor bean). Its description in RNAcentral is "long non-coding RNA (RCOM_LNC001403)". The record is from RNAcentral. Lineage: Eukaryota; Viridiplantae; Streptophyta; Magnoliopsida; Malpighiales; Euphorbiaceae.
AGGAAGCGAAGAGGUGUCAGGUGUUGUACAUGGAGGAUAUUACAGAGGGGUGGUUUGCUAGAUGUCGAGAUACAGGUGGCUGGAAGUAAAGAGCCCAGGAAUGUCUCACAAAUACCCUAUCCGAGAUGGAAUAAAUAAUUGGAGAAAGUUCAAAAAUAUAUGACUCUGGUUUAACACUCUGUUUGGCUGGCGACCAUAAAAAGUAAAGGAAGGUAAAAUUUUGUAAAUAUGGGAUGGGUUGAUUUUUAUUUUGUGGUUGGGGAUUUUGUGAGCAUAUUAUCUGCCCAAAUUUUCUCAUGAACAUACAAAUAUUCAAAUUUAAAUAUCAAGGAUCAUGCC